Molecule: ribosomal RNA, 468 nt
Filed under: uncultured bacterium
Lineage: Bacteria
Description: partial 16S ribosomal RNA
Rfam family: Bacterial small subunit ribosomal RNA
Source: RNAcentral
GACGAACGCUGGCGGCGUGCUUAACACAUGCAAGUCGAACGGAAAGGCCCUGCUUUUGUGGGGUUCUCGAGUGGCGAACGGGUGAGUAACACGUGAGUAACCUGCCCUUGACUUUGUGAUAACUUCAGGAAACUGGGGCUAAUACCGGAUAGGAGCUCCUGCUGCAUGGGGGGGGUUGGAAAGUUUCGGCGGUUGGGGAUGGACUCGCGGCUUAUCAGCUUGUUGGGGGGGUAGUGGCUUACCAAGGCUUUGACGGGUAGCCUGCAUGAGAGGGUGACCGGCCACAUUGGGCCUGAGAUACGGCCCAGACUCGUACGGGAGGCAGCAGUGGGGAAUAUUGCACAAUGGGCGGAAGCCUGAUGCAGCAACGCCGCGUGCGGGAUGACGGCCUUCGGGUUGUAAACCGCUUUCGCCUGUGACGAAGCGUGAGUGACGGUAAUGGGUAAAGAAGCACCGGCUAACUACGUG